This 76-nucleotide transfer RNA is filed under the name Gossypium hirsutum (cotton). It matches the Rfam family "tRNA". Rfam says of the family: Transfer RNA (tRNA) molecules are approximately 80 nucleotides in length. Their secondary structure includes four short double-helical elements and three loops (D, anti-codon, and T loops). The record is from Rfam by way of RNAcentral. Lineage: Eukaryota; Viridiplantae; Streptophyta; Magnoliopsida; Malvales; Malvaceae.
AGGUAUGUAGCGCAGCUUGGUAGCGCGUUUGUUUUGGGUACAAAAUAUGUCACGGGUUCAAAUCCUGUCAUCCCUA